CCCUACCUUUACCAGAAACAACGAGAUUGAGCCCUUUUGUUUUUCAUAUACUACACUGGGUAGGAAGGCAUCAAGAUAGCGGGCCUGGUUGUUCUAUCAGCUGACCCUGUCUGCAGUUCCUGGAUGCUUCCACCCAGACCUCAGCCCCACUUCAGGUAUCUGGAGACAUUCCUGACCAGAAAUCCAAUUUCGAAAGAAAUAAUUAGGCCUUAAGAUGACUGCAUGAGCACAGAGGAGACAGAAACAAGAGGAGAUUCAGGGGAAAGAGCUGUACCCAUCACCGCUGUAGCCUGCC
Microtus oregoni (creeping vole) is the source of this 295-nucleotide long non-coding RNA. RefSeq lists it as uncharacterized. The record is from RefSeq and is a predicted model, not a curated record. Lineage: Eukaryota; Metazoa; Chordata; Mammalia; Rodentia; Cricetidae. The transcript has 3 exons.